RNAcentral lists this non-coding RNA (258 nucleotides) under Alkalibacterium sp. RNAcentral describes it as "T-box sequence". It matches the Rfam family "T-box leader". Rfam says of the family: Uncharged tRNA acts as the effector for transcription antitermination of genes in the T-box leader family. Lineage: Bacteria; Bacillati; Bacillota; Bacilli; Lactobacillales; Carnobacteriaceae. The record is from RNAcentral.
AGUUGCACAUUGAAGAGAAGAGUAAGCUGGAAAUGCUGCUGACAGUGAGCCCGGAUGGUGAAAACGGGCGCAGACAGGACCGGCUGAAGAUGGCCUCUGAGUGUUUCAUUUCUAAAUGUUCAGGAAAUGACGGGACUGCCCGGUACAGCAGCAAGGACUCGCAUGCCGGUUAACGGGAUGCUGCUCCUUUUGAGGUUGUAUCUGAAAGGGUACAGCAAAGCAAGGUGGUAACGCGAAGCGGAAGCUCUCGUCCUUGUA